CCUACUGGUGGCAGCAGUGAGGAAUAUUGGUCAAUGGACGAGAGUCUGAACCAGCCAAGUAGCGUGAAGGAUGACUGCCCUAUGGGUUGUAAACUUCUUUUAUAAAGGAAUAAAACGAGGCACGUGUGCCUGUUUGCAUGUACUUUAUGAAUAAUGAUCGGCUAACUCCGAGCCAGCAGCCGCGGUAAUACGGAGGAUCCGAGCGUUAUCCGGUUUUAUUGGGUUUAAAGGGAGCGUAGAUGGGUUGUUAAGUCAGUUGUGAAAGUUUGCGGCUCAACUGUAGAAGUGCAAUUGAUACUGGCAGUCUUGAGUGCAGUUGAGGUAGGCGGAAUGCGUGGUGUAGCGGUGAAAUGCAUAGAUAUCACGAAGAACACCGAUUGCGAAGGCAGCUUACUAAACUGUGACUGACAUUGAUGCACGAAAGCGUGGGUAUCAAACAGGAUUAGAUACCCGAGUAGUC
RNAcentral lists this ribosomal RNA (460 nucleotides) under uncultured bacterium. RNAcentral's name for it is "partial 16S ribosomal RNA". It matches the Rfam family "Bacterial small subunit ribosomal RNA", at positions 338 to 795 of the family's 1533-position model. The record is from RNAcentral.